This 398-nucleotide ribosomal RNA is filed under the name Episymploce longiloba. RNAcentral's name for it is "partial small subunit ribosomal RNA". The record is from RNAcentral. Lineage: Eukaryota; Metazoa; Arthropoda; Insecta; Blattodea; Blattellidae.
UAUUAUUUUAGAUGUAAAAUAAUUUAAACUUGAGUAGUAGUAGAAUAAGGUCUUGAAACUUAAAGAAUUUGGCGGUAUUUUAGUCUAUUUAGAGGAAUCUGUCCCAUAAUCGAUAAUCCGCGUUGGACCUUACUUAAAUUAAAUAAUAUGUAUACCGCUGUUGUUGAAAAUCUUUUUAGAGUUAAUUUUUUAAAAACUUGUUAAGUAAUUUUUCAGGUCAAGGUGCAGUUUAUAUUUAAGUGGAGAUGGAUUACAAUAUUAAUUGAAUAUACGAAUUAUUAUUUGUAAUUUAAUAAUAUAAAGGUGGAUUUAAUAGUAAUAUUAUGAAGAUUGUUAAUGUGAUUAUAGCUCUAAAAUAUGUACACAUCGCCCGUCGCUCUCGUUAUGUUUAAGGUGAG